ACCCAGCUGACGAGGCCGAGAUAGGACGAAACGUGCGUUUUGGAU
Molecule: non-coding RNA, 45 nt
Filed under: Schistosoma haematobium
Lineage: Eukaryota; Metazoa; Platyhelminthes; Trematoda; Strigeidida; Schistosomatidae
Source: RNAcentral